This 254-nucleotide ribosomal RNA is filed under the name uncultured bacterium. RNAcentral's name for it is "partial 16S ribosomal RNA". It matches the Rfam family "Bacterial small subunit ribosomal RNA", at positions 524 to 776 of the family's 1533-position model. The record is from RNAcentral.
UACGGAGGGUGCGAGCGUUGUCCGGAAUUAUUGGGCGUAAAGAGCUCGUAGGCGGUCUGUCGCGUCGAUCGUGAAAACUUGGGGCUUAACCCUGGGCUUGCGGUCGAUACGGGCAUGACUGGAGUUCGGCAGGGGAGACUGGAAUUCCUGGUGUAGCGGUGAAAUGCGCAGAUAUCAGGAGGAACACCGGUGGCGAAGGCGGGUCUCUGGGCCGAUACUGACGCUGAGGAGCGAAAGCGUGGGGAGCGAACAGG